Molecule: long non-coding RNA, 554 nt
Organism: Talpa occidentalis (Iberian mole)
Lineage: Eukaryota; Metazoa; Chordata; Mammalia; Eulipotyphla; Talpidae
Exons: 3
Source: RefSeq, a predicted model, not a curated record
AGCUGUGUCUUAACAAGGGUUCACAUUUCAGGCCUGUGGCACUCCCCACACCCUGGAAGUCACUAGCUGAGGACAUCCUCUGACUCAACUUCUGAUAGUUCCACGAUGUUCCUGCCUGGGCCCAAACCUCCCAUCUGCAGUUUGUAUCCCUGCAAUUUCCAGGCCUGGGUCUCUCCACCAGAGAGACUGGCAGGGCCAGGAGCUUCGUAAACAUAAUCUCAUCCAGAUGGGGGUGACAGCGCUGCUUUACAGGACCUCAAAGCAUCCCAGGAUGGCGUCUAAUACUAGUGGAAAACAGAUGAGAAGCAGAUGAGCAUUUUCUCCUUCUACAAAUAAGCAAAGUUGAGACAUACAAGCACCAAGUCAAGGGUGCUGUGGACGCCAUUGUGAGAAGAGGUCGCUCAGUGUGAGGGGAGAAGGGUCAUUGUGAACCCUAAUGUGAACCACAGGGAAGUGCAAACACAGGGUUGAGCAGAGACUUUCAGAUUUUACUAUAAAUGCUUGAGUAUUAUUUAUGCCAAGGACAUGUCCUAUGUUCUUUUUCUAUAAAUAAA